ACGGUUUUGCCGUUGGUAGAAUAGGGAAACGGGUGAAAUUCCCGUGCGGGACCGCCGCCGUAAUGGAAGAGCUUUGGUCAAAAAAUGUCACUGUGGGUACACAUGGGAAGACAGAACCAGAGCGAUGACGCCAGAGCCGGAAGACCUGCCUUGCAUUC
Molecule: non-coding RNA, 158 nt
Filed under: chicken gut metagenome
Source: RNAcentral